CCGGGGCUAAUACCGGAUGCUUGAUUGAGCCGCAUGGUUCAAUUAUAAAAGGUGGCUUUCAGCUACCACUUACAGAUGGACCCGCGGCGCAUUAGCUAGUUGGUGAGGUAACGGCUCACCAAGGCGACGAUGCGUAGCCGACCUGAGAGGGUGAUCGGCCACACUGGGACUGAGACACGGCCCAGACUCCUACGGGAGGCAGCAGUAGGGAAUCUUCCGCAAUGGACGAAAGUCUGACGGAGCAACGCCGCGUGAGUGAUGAAGGUUUUCGGAUCGUAAAACUCUGUUGUUAGGGAAGAACAAGUACCGUUCGAAUAGGGCGGCACCUUGACGGUACCUAACCAGAAAGCCACGGCUAACUACGUGCCAGCAGCCGCGGUAAUACGUAGGUGGCAAGCGUUGUCCGGAAUUAUUGGGCGUAAAGCGCGCGCAGGCGGUUUCUUAAGUCUGAUGUGAAAGCCCCCGGCUCAACCGGGGAGGGUCAUUGGAAACUGGGGAACUUGAGUGCAGAAGAGGAGAGUGGAAUUCCACGUGUAGCGG
This 540-nucleotide ribosomal RNA is filed under the name uncultured Bacilli bacterium. RNAcentral describes it as "bacterial SSU rRNA". It matches the Rfam family "Bacterial small subunit ribosomal RNA", at positions 157 to 681 of the family's 1533-position model. The record is from RNAcentral. Lineage: Bacteria; Bacillati; Bacillota; Bacilli.